UCUUGUCGUAUGCUAUCUCAUCUUUUUAUAGACACAAAAAUCUUUACAAAAUUUUAUUUUCAGUUUCUGUUUUUUUUUUUUUUUUCUAUCAUUUGCAGCUCAACUUUAUAAUUUAAAAAAAAAAUUUACUUGUCGUUUUUAAUCUACUGAGGAAAUAUUACUACAUAUCUUUUAAAAAAAAAAAAUACUUGUCGUUUUUUGUUGAACUUAAUGGUUUACUAAUCAACCUAUUCGUUUUCUUUUACCCUUUUGUCUUUCAUAUAUUAUUGGGUUAUUUUAACGAGAGUGUGUACAAAUACUUUCGUCAUAAAAAAUCUUUCUAUUUACACUCGAGAUGUCAAGCAAUCUAGAAUUCUCCAAGCUCAUCUUUUGGACUUCUCUCUCACUUACCCUUCUACUUCACAUCGGGAAUGGAGAAAGGUGUGAAAGAAAUGGUCCGAGUGUAAAGCAAACCCAAACCGGGUUCAAGAAGCCACCCACGUACACUGUUGAGGUCAAAAACACCUGCCCGACGUGCCCGGUGAUUGAUGUUCAUGUAGAAUGUGGAAACUUUUCACAAGGUCUAGUGAACCCUAUGAUUUUCAGAGUGUUGGGUCGAAACGAUUGUGUUCUUAACAAUGGUUCACCAUUGGAGCCUCUUGAAGAGAUGUCUUUUAAAUACUCUCAUAUCAUGUAUGCAUUGAAGCCUUCCACUUGGUAUUAUCAAUGUGAGUAAUUAAGAGUUGUUCAAUGUAUGUCAAGUAUUUUGAGAUAAUGUCAUAAAAGAUUUGUUCCAUCUACUUAAUCCUUUUUUUCAGAUGUUGUUUAAAUCAUUAUUUCAAAUGAAAAAAGUUCAUUUUAUUUCUCCA
This is a long non-coding RNA of Lactuca sativa (garden lettuce), 848 nucleotides long. RefSeq lists it as uncharacterized. NCBI's taxonomy places the organism in Eukaryota, Viridiplantae, Streptophyta, Magnoliopsida, Asterales, Asteraceae. The record is from RefSeq and is a predicted model, not a curated record.